GUAGGGGGCAAGCGUUGUCCGGAUUUAUUGGGSGUAAAGAGCGUGUAGGCGGCCAGACAGGUCCGUUGUGAAAACUCGAGGCUCAACCUCGAGACGCCGAUGGAAACCGUCUGGCUAGAGUCCGGAAGAGGAGAGUGGAAUUCCUGGUGUAGCGGUGAAAUGCGCAGAUAUCAGGAAGAACACCCGUGGCUAAGGCGGCUCUCUAGUACGGUACUGACGCUGAGACGCGAAAGCGUGGGGAGCGAACAGGAUUAGAUACCCUGGUAGUCCACGCCGUAAACGAUGGGUGCUAGGUGUGGGGGGUGUCGACUCCCUCCGUGCCGAAGCUAACGCAUUAAGCACCCCGCCUGGGGAGUACGGCCGUAAGGCUA
RNAcentral lists this ribosomal RNA (371 nucleotides) under uncultured bacterium. RNAcentral describes it as "bacterial SSU rRNA". It matches the Rfam family "Bacterial small subunit ribosomal RNA", at positions 527 to 896 of the family's 1533-position model. The record is from RNAcentral.